Molecule: unclassified non-coding RNA, 250 nt
Filed under: Hevea brasiliensis (rubber tree)
Lineage: Eukaryota; Viridiplantae; Streptophyta; Magnoliopsida; Malpighiales; Euphorbiaceae
Source: RNAcentral
GGAGUCUAGGGAAAUGGACGAAGAGAGUUCAUUUCAAAUGCAAGUCCAGGGGAUUAGAGUUUGACUUUGUAGUGACAGUCUGAAGAAGACAAACAAGACUUAUGAGUGUAUGCUUAUCAUGAACCCUACUGGGGAUGGUUGGUGGUAGAAAAGAUGCAACGAAGAGAGAGCAAGAGAGAAGUGGUUGGUGGAUACAGUUGUAAAGAGGAACCACUGGGGAGGGUACUCUAAGCAGGCAAAAAUAGGUUGU